Long non-coding RNA from Prionailurus viverrinus (fishing cat), 1957 nucleotides. RefSeq lists it as uncharacterized. The transcript has 2 exons. NCBI's taxonomy places the organism in Eukaryota, Metazoa, Chordata, Mammalia, Carnivora, Felidae. The record is from RefSeq and is a predicted model, not a curated record.
CUCCCAACCUUGCAAGGCGAGCGCGGGAGCCCGGCUGGUGGGAAGCCCCAACACAGCGCUGCCUAACCGUCCCGCCCCUCCUCGGCCUUCCUCAGCUGUCCCCGCCCCCCCCCCCCCCCCCCCAGACCCUACCGCCACCCCGCCUGGGUCACGAUCUCCUCUCGGCCUACCCCAGCCACCUUGGGCGAGGCGCCCCCUCCCCAGGCACGCCUUUCCCCGCCUCAGCGCCUCCCUAAUCCUGUUCUGCCCUGCCAACCUCAACCUGGGGCGGGCCGGCCUCGGGCCCCCAAGCUGGCAUUCCAGGGCGGGUGCGUCCGGGUGCGACCGGGGACGGCGUGGGAGCGGUUUGCGUUCCAAGUCCGAGCCUUUAUCAGCAGGCGACCUGGGCCCAGGCACUUUUUGAAAAUACUAACAACUACUACCGACUGGACUCUCGCCAGGGGCCGGGCUCUAUGCCAAGCCCUGUUAAAAGGACUGGCCCUUAAAUUCUCACAACCUUCUGCGAUGGUAGCUUGUUGCUCCAUUUUACCGACGGACGACCUGAGGUUUAGAGAAAGGAAGUCGUGGCCUCCGAGUCUCACGCUGGAGGUGAGCAGGAUCCGGCUGCAAGCCCUGAAUCACAAGCCUGAUACUGCCCCAGCUUGCCUGGACUGGCCCCUGGAGAAGUGGCCUUGGCCAGCCAGCUGUUGGGGCUGUGUUCAGCAGGCUGCCUGAGGUGAGGGAGGAGGCGUGGGUUGAUGAGGCGGGUAGCAGGAGGGGCUGCUGGCCUGAGCCCCAGAAGCUGGUUUUCUCCCUUAAGAAGUGACUCAGAAUUAAGAAGGGCUGCAAAGAUCUCCAGAUGGCUGUGGUGCCCUGACCUGCAUCCCAGCCCUCUGCACUCCCAGACCCCAGGGGCCAGCCUCGGGUAGGUUUCCUACUUAUGACCGGGACCAUUCACCUUGCAGCUGACAAAGCUCUUUAACUCCCAUUAUCUCAUUGGCAUCUCACAAGGACGCCAUUAUGGGGAAGGUAUGAUUAUGCCGGGUUUUGCAUGGGUGGAGUUAGGGUGGGGAGCUGGAUCCCAGCCCAGCACGGUGGUUCCCAAAGCAUGGUCCUUAGACCUCUGGCAACAGCAGUGGUGUCUGGGAAUUUGUUAGCCAUGCGUGUUUGGGAGCCCCAUCCCAGGCCUACUGAAUGAGAAACUCUGGGAGAGGAGCCUAGCAGUUUGUUUUAACAAGGCCUCCAGGUGAUUUUGAAAUCACAAGCAAGUUGGAGAAUCACCGUUGGGCACACUGGUGAAGAAAUUAGGGUGCUCUGAGAGUCACAAAGGCCUGGUAGCAUCCUGGGAGCCUUGCGACCCAAGGCAAGGGACACCAUCAUUCCUGCGAGGGGCCAACAGCUUAACACGUUCCCAGAUGACGUCGACACAGCUGGUCCAGGGCUCACAUCUUCAGAACCACUGUGCUUUUCUGUCUUGGACUGGGCUCCUGGCCGACCCUUGAAAAUGGGCGUAAAACACCCUCCUCUUCCACCCUGUUCCCCGUCCCCUCCCCUCAAGCUGGGGGUGUUUGUGAUGGUGAUUGGCAGUUGGCAAAACAGCUGGGAUCACAUCAGCCCCUCCCUCGCCUCCAGACAGACGUUCAAUCACAGGAGGCCCAUCUGCUACCCCUUUGGGUCUGUCACUCCAGAUUAGAGACGGGGGCAGCUGUGGCAACACGGAGGCAGGCAGAUUUUCGAAUCUCUGCCAUACCCCCUACCCCCCUCUGCAGCCCCAUAGAUGAGGGCCUUCCUAUAGGAGCUCAGAGCCUAUUUGUCCUAUUAAGUACCCUAAAUGCUAAAAAAUGCUUGAAUUAAAUGCUAAAGUAAAUGUUUUGUUAAAUGCUAAAAAUAUCAACAUGUUAAUGCUAAAAAUCGAGACCCACCUAGCUUACAUCUAAACAUGUAACAGACUAUAAAAUAAAAUAUGUUUAUUCUCCUA